CUUUAAGAGACUGCCGGUGUUAAACCGGAGGAAGGUGGGGAGUGACGUCAAGUCCUCAUGGCCUUUAUGCUUAGGGCUACACACGUGCUACAAUGGGUGGUACAAAGAGAAGCCAACUCGCGAGAGCGCGCCAAUCUCAAAAAGCCAUCCUCAGUUCGGAUUGGAGUCUGCAACUCGACUCCAUGAAGUUGGAAUCGCUAGUAAUCGCGGAUCAGCAUGCCGCGGUGAAUACGUUCCCGGGCCUU
Molecule: ribosomal RNA, 245 nt
Filed under: uncultured Smithella sp.
Lineage: Bacteria; Pseudomonadati; Thermodesulfobacteriota; Syntrophia; Syntrophales; Smithellaceae
Description: partial 16S ribosomal RNA
Rfam family: Bacterial small subunit ribosomal RNA
Source: RNAcentral